GACACAAAAGCAGCCCACGUUAAGCACCCCAAAUAAGGGACUAAACCAAGUGGGCCCUGCCCUAAUGUCUUUGGUUGGGGCGACCGCGGGGAAUUAAAGAACCCCCACGUGGAGUGGGAGCACUUUUCCUACAGCCAAGAGCUACAGCUCUAGGAAACAGAAUUUCUGACCAACAAGAUCCGGCAAUGCCGAUCAACGGACCGAGUUACCCUAGGGAUAACAGCGCAAUCCUCUUUUAGAGCCCAUAUCGACAAGGGGGUUUACGACCUCGAUGUUGGAUCAGGACAUCCUAAUGGUGCAGCCGCUAUUAAG
Molecule: ribosomal RNA, 312 nt
Filed under: Cottus bairdii (mottled sculpin)
Lineage: Eukaryota; Metazoa; Chordata; Actinopteri; Perciformes; Cottidae
Description: partial 16S ribosomal RNA
Rfam family: Bacterial large subunit ribosomal RNA
Source: RNAcentral